Molecule: long non-coding RNA, 679 nt
Organism: Sander lucioperca (pikeperch)
Lineage: Eukaryota; Metazoa; Chordata; Actinopteri; Perciformes; Percidae
Exons: 3
Source: RefSeq, a predicted model, not a curated record
AGCACUGUUAGUUAGCAUCAAGCCGCCAUACUUCCUCGUAACAUCCUGCUGCUGCAGGCGGCAGGCAUGAUGGACAAAGGCAGCAGCAAAAUACUUCUGAAUGGCGCUUUUUAUUUUCCAAAACUACCGAACGGCUCAGUAGAUAAGUCAAAAGCCAUAUGCACAUUGUGUAAAGCCGAAUUAAAAUAUCACCGAAGCACGUCAAGCUUGAGCUACCACCUACGAGCUAAGCAUAUUAUUAACGUGACUAAGGUCGAUGCUAGCAGCCUCAGGCAAAGCACUAUUUUGGAGAGUGAUACUCGCCGACCUGCGGAUAAAACCAAAUCCCAAAAAAUUACUACCGCUCUUGCAAAAUGGGUGGCAACUAACUGCAGACCUGUCAGCAUCGUAGAAGACUCGGGUCUUAAAGAAGUGCUACGGUUAGCAUGUUCUGACCCUUCUUAUACACUGCCGUCGACGGGGACAGUAGUUUCACGCAUUCACAACCUGUACGACACAGAGAAAGCAGCUAAACUGGAACUGCUGCAAAGUGCAAACGCUGUCUCGUUAACCGUUGAUCACUGGACGUCAGUGAGUAAUCAGAAUUAUUUAGAAGUUACUGCACACUAUAUUGACUCUGGUUGGACUUUGCACUCGUUUGCCUUAACGGUUGUUGUUAGUGUUACAUCUCAGUCAAUUG